RNAcentral lists this ribosomal RNA (1359 nucleotides) under Onthophagus cf. tragus. RNAcentral describes it as "16S ribosomal RNA". The stretch from base 1089 to 1248 matches the Rfam family "Archaeal large subunit ribosomal RNA", at positions 2542 to 2701 of the family's 2987-position model. Lineage: Eukaryota; Metazoa; Arthropoda; Insecta; Coleoptera; Scarabaeidae. The record is from RNAcentral.
GAAUAUUAUAAAAUUUAUUAUUUUUUUUUGUAUUUAAUUUUUAUAUUUAUUAAAAAUAUUUUUUUUUUUUUUAUUAAUUUAGAUAAAAUUAUUUUUAUUAUAGAUUAUUAGUAUAGAGAUAGAAUGUUGAAAUAGUUAAAUGAAAAUAUAAAUUUUUAAAAGAAAAUUUAAUUUAUUGUACCUUGUGUAUCAGGGUUUAUUAAAUAAUAAUUAUAUAAUUAAUUUUCUCGAAUUUAAAAGAGCUAAAAAAUUAUAAAUUUUAUUGUGGCAUAAAUAUUUAUAAUAAUUUUUUAGUAAUGAAACGUUAUUCGUUUUUAAAUUUAUCUAGUUUUUUAAGAAAUAAAUUUAAUUUAGAUAUUUAUUUUUCAUGGAUAUAACUUAUAUAUUGUAGAUGAAAUAAAUAUUUAAUAUUUUAAGGGAUAAGCUUUAAAAUAAAGUUUUAAUAAAUAAUUAAUUUUUUUUAAAAUUUAUAGGAGUGGAAGUAUCUAUUUUAUAAAGUGUGUUAUAACAAAUUUUAGAUUAAAAAAGAUUUUUAUAUUAUUUUUAAUUUUAUAUUAAAAUUAUUAAUUUAAUUUUAUAAUUAAUGUAAUAAUGAUAGAAUUAGUAUAAUUUUAUGUAUAUUUAAUUUAUAUAGAUAUAGGUUAAGUUAAGGAACUCGGCAAAUAUAUUUUUCGCCUGUUUAUUAAAAACAUGUCUUUUUGAUAAUAAUUUAAAGUCUGACCUGCCCUAUGAUAAGUUUUUAUUAAAUGGCCGCGAUAAUUUGAUCGUGCAAAGGUAGCAUAAUAAUUAGUUUCUUAAUUGGGAACUGGAAUGAAAGGUCGAACGAGAAAAUAACUGUCUCAAUUUAAUUUAUAUUAGAAUUUUAUUUUUAAGUAAAAAAGCUUAAAUAAUUUUUAAAGACGAGAAGACCCUAUAGAGUUUUAUAUUUAUUAUAAUUAAUUUUAUUUUUAGAAUUUAAGUUUAAUAAGUUAUAGUAAGUAUUUGGUUGGGGUGAUUGAAAAAUUUAAUUAACUUUUUUUAACAAUUUAACAUUAAUAUAUGAAAAAUUGAUCCAUAUUUAUAUGAUUAUAAGAUUAAAUUACCUUAGGGAUAACAGCGUAAUUUUUUUUGAGAGUUCUUAUCGAAAAAAAAGUUUGCGACCUCGAUGUUGGAUUAAAAUUAAAUUUUGGUGUAGAAGCUAAAAAGUUUAGGUCUGUUCGACCUUUAAAAUUUUACAUGAUCUGAGUUUAAACCGGUGUAAGCCAGGUUGGUUUCUAUCUUAAAAAAUUAAAAAUAUUUUAGUACGAAAGGAUCAAAUAUUUAUAAUAAUUAUUUAUUUAAGAAUUUUAUUAAAAUAAAAAAUUACUUUGGCAGAAUAGU